UAAUACAGAGGGCGCGAGCGUUGUCCGGAAUCACUGGGCGUAAAGGGCGCGUAGGUGGCCACCAUAAGGCCGCGGUGAAAGUCUGGGGCUCAACCCCAGAUCGGCCGCGGCGACUGUGGGGCUCGGGUACUGUAGAGGCAGGUGGAAUUCCGGGUGUAGCGGUGGAAUGCGUAGAGAUCCGGAAGAACACCAGUGGCGAAGGCGGCCUGCUGGGCAGUGGACCUGAAAGGGUCCUUCAACCGACACUGAGGCGCGACAGCGUGGGGAGCAAACAGGAUUAGAUACCCUGGUAGUCCACGCCGUAAACGAUGGGCACUAGGUGCUCCGGGGAGCGACCCUUGGAGUACCGGCGCUAACGCAUGAAGUGCCCCGCCUGGGGAGUACGGCCGCAAGGCUG
RNAcentral lists this ribosomal RNA (397 nucleotides) under uncultured bacterium. Its description in RNAcentral is "bacterial SSU rRNA". It matches the Rfam family "Bacterial small subunit ribosomal RNA", at positions 521 to 896 of the family's 1533-position model. The record is from RNAcentral.